GAAACGAAAGGAGAGCCCUCAUCCCCAUCAAUCCCACAGGGGGAAUAAAUCCCCUUGCAAAAGGCUGGGGUUAAUAUACCCCUGGCCGGGCCCGCCUCUCGUUCCCAUGAUGCCCGGGAAAAGGGAGGGAGCAAAUACCACAAGGUAUAAAAGCCCUCAGAGGAGCUGUAGCUGCAUGCAUCCUCUGGCUUAAGUGUAAGCAAAUUCAGCGUGUUGCAAAAGGGAUCUGCCCUGUGUCAGAGAUGAUGUCUGAGAUUGAGGCUUUCCAAUGGCAGACCAAGAAGCUAACCGGUGAUCGCGGGGCCUUCUGAGAUGGCCGAGGCGGACUCAUUUCAUGUCCGACAUGGAUUCAUGUCAUCGGUUAUCUGAAAGAUAAGUCGGGGGCCAUGAGCCCCAGAUGGGAUGAUAGCAGGGUAGCGGGUUGGAAAUUCCUGGGAGAGGUUUAAAAAUUAGCAGAGGGGAAAGGGAUGCUCUCUGAGGGGCCUCUUAGGACAGCUAAAGGGAGCGGCUCUACUUUUGAUUGCAGCCGUUGGGUGUGCAGGGCACAGCAGUUCUAGUGUGUCGUGUGUUGUCUAGUGUGUUUCUGGGAUCCCGUAGCUCAGAUAUCUCUGCCUUUUCCCUUGAGGGCCUUAUCCCAAGUGUCAGC
This 646-nucleotide long non-coding RNA is filed under the name Corvus moneduloides (New Caledonian crow). Its description in RNAcentral is "lncRNA (ENSCMUG00000018398.1)". The record is from RNAcentral. Lineage: Eukaryota; Metazoa; Chordata; Aves; Passeriformes; Corvidae.